Molecule: transfer RNA, 72 nt
Filed under: Ovis aries (sheep)
Lineage: Eukaryota; Metazoa; Chordata; Mammalia; Artiodactyla; Bovidae
Rfam family: tRNA
About the family: Transfer RNA (tRNA) molecules are approximately 80 nucleotides in length. Their secondary structure includes four short double-helical elements and three loops (D, anti-codon, and T loops). Further hydrogen bonds mediate the characteristic L-shaped molecular structure. tRNAs have two regions of fundamental functional importance: the anti-codon, which is responsible for specific mRNA codon recognition, and the 3' end, to which the tRNAs corresponding amino acid is attached (by aminoacyl-tRNA synthetases). tRNAs cope with the degeneracy of the genetic code in two manners: having more than one tRNA (with a specific anti-codon) for a particular amino acid; and 'wobble' base-pairing, i.e. permitting non-standard base-pairing at the 3rd anti-codon position.
Source: Rfam by way of RNAcentral
UCCCUGGUGGUCCAGUGGCUAGGACUUCAUCUUCCAAUGCAAGGGAUGCAGGUUCGAACCCUGCGCAGGGAG